This 377-nucleotide unclassified non-coding RNA is filed under the name soil metagenome. Its description in RNAcentral is "partial contains 5.8S ribosomal RNA, internal transcribed spacer 2, and large subunit ribosomal RNA". The stretch from base 1 to 120 matches the Rfam family "5.8S ribosomal RNA", at positions 35 to 154 of the family's 154-position model. The record is from RNAcentral.
GAUGAAGAACGUAGCGAAAUGCGAUAAGUAAUGUGAAUUGCAGAAUUCAGUGAAUCAUCGAAUCUUUGAACGCACCUUGCGCUCCUUGGUAUUCCGAGGAGCAUGCCUGUUUGAGUCUCAUGGAAUUCUCAAGCUUACAGCUUUGUUACUGCAAGGCUUGGACUUGGAGGUCGUGUCGGCUCUCGCGAGUCGACUCCUCUGAAAUGCAUUAGUGCGGACGUUACCGGUCGCUUCAGCGUGAUAAUUAUCUGCGCUGCCGGCGACUGGUAUGUGAAGUACGCGCUUCUAACCGUCCUUCACGGGACAAUACAUUGAAACUCUGAGCUCAAAUCAGGUAGGACUACCCGCUGAACUUAAGCAUAUCAAUAAGCGGAGGA